UACGGAGGAUGCGAGCGUUAUCCGGAUUUAUUGGGUUUAAAGGGUGCGUAGGCGGUCCGUUAAGUCAGCGGUAAAGUUGCGGGGCUCAACCCCGUCGAGCCGUUGAAACUGUCAGACUUGAGUUGGCGAGAAGUACGCGGAAUGCGCGGUGUAGCGGUGAAAUGCAUAGAUAUCGCGCAGAACUCCGAUUGCGAAGGCAGCGUACCGGCGCCACACUGACGCUGAGGCACGAAAGCGUGGGGAUCAAACAGG
This 252-nucleotide ribosomal RNA is filed under the name uncultured bacterium. RNAcentral's name for it is "partial 16S ribosomal RNA". It matches the Rfam family "Bacterial small subunit ribosomal RNA", at positions 524 to 776 of the family's 1533-position model. The record is from RNAcentral.